RNAcentral lists this transfer RNA (72 nucleotides) under Camelus dromedarius (Arabian camel). It matches the Rfam family "tRNA". Rfam says of the family: Transfer RNA (tRNA) molecules are approximately 80 nucleotides in length. Their secondary structure includes four short double-helical elements and three loops (D, anti-codon, and T loops). Lineage: Eukaryota; Metazoa; Chordata; Mammalia; Artiodactyla; Camelidae. RNAcentral also lists the same sequence under 1 other name. The record is from Rfam by way of RNAcentral.
GAGGCUAUAGCUCAGUGGUAGAGCACGUGCUUAGCAUGCGUGAGCUCCUGGGUUCAGUCCCCAGUACCUCCG